GGUGAAGAACGCAGCGAAAUGCGAUAAGUAAUGUGAAUUGCAGAAUUCAGUGAAUCAUCGAAUCUUUGUACGCACAUUGCGCCCGCCAGUAUUCUGGCGGGCAUGCCUGUUCGAGCGUCAUUUCAACCAUCAAGCCCCCGGCUUGUGUUGGGGACCUGCGGCUGCCGCAGGCCCUGAAAACCAGUGGCGGGCUCGCUAGUCACUCCGAGCGUAGUAAUACAUCUCGCUCAGGGCGUGCUGCGGGUUCCGGCCGUUAAAAAGCCUUAUUUACCCAAGGUUGACCUCGGAUCAGGUAGGAAGACCCGCUGAACUUAAGCAUAUCAAUAAGCGGAGGA
This 335-nucleotide unclassified non-coding RNA is filed under the name soil metagenome. RNAcentral's name for it is "partial contains 5.8S ribosomal RNA, internal transcribed spacer 2, and large subunit ribosomal RNA". The stretch from base 3 to 120 matches the Rfam family "5.8S ribosomal RNA", at positions 37 to 154 of the family's 154-position model. The record is from RNAcentral.